CCUACGGGAGGCAGCAGUGGGGAAUAUUGCACAAUGGGCGCAAGCCUGAUGCAGCAACGCCGCGUGAGGGACGACGGCCUUCGGGUUGUAAACCUCUUUUAGUAGGGAAGAAGCGAAAGUGACGGUACCUGCAGAAAAAGCACCGGCUAACUACGUGCCAGCAGCCGCGGUAAUACGUAGGGUGCAAGCGUUAUCCGGAAUUAUUGGGCGUAAAGAGCUCGUAGGCGGUUUGUCGCGUCUGCUGUGAAAACUGGAGGCUCAACCUCCAGCCUGCAGUGGGUACGGGCAAACUAGAGUGCGGUAGGGGAGAUUGGAAUUCCUGGUGUAGCGGUGGAAUGCGCAGAUAUCAGGAGGAACACCGGAUGGCGAAGGCAGAUCUCUGGGCCGUAACUGACGCUGAGGAGCGAAAGCAUGGGGAGCGAACAGGAUUAGAUACCCUGGUAGUCCAUGCCGUAAACGUUGGGCGCUAGAUGUGGGGACCAUUCCACGGUUUCCGUGUCGCAGCUAACGCAUUAAGCGCCCCGCCUGGGGGAGGUACGGCCGCGACGGACGUAAACUAACGAAGAAGUAGACGGCGUGAGACGUCGCCGACGGACGACGACGAGGGAGGUUAGG
RNAcentral lists this ribosomal RNA (615 nucleotides) under uncultured bacterium. Its description in RNAcentral is "bacterial SSU rRNA". The stretch from base 1 to 526 matches the Rfam family "Bacterial small subunit ribosomal RNA", at positions 338 to 873 of the family's 1533-position model. The record is from RNAcentral.